This 580-nucleotide ribosomal RNA is filed under the name fungal sp. APA-2013. Its description in RNAcentral is "eukaryotic LSU rRNA". The stretch from base 229 to 382 matches the Rfam family "5.8S ribosomal RNA". The record is from RNAcentral. Lineage: Eukaryota; Fungi.
CUAGAGGAAGUAAAAGUCGUAACAAGGUCUCCGUAGGUGAACCUGCGGAGGGAUCAUUACAGAGUUCUCGCCCUCACGGGUAGAUCUCCCACCCAAUGUUAUCGUUACCACUGUUUCUUUGGCGGGCCGCCGGGCCCUGCUCGGCCGCCGGCUUCGGCUGGCGCGCGCCCGCCAGAGGCCCUUUAAACCCUGAAUGUCAGUGUCGUCUGAGUACUAUACAAUAGUUAAAACUUUCAACAACGGAUCUCUUGGUUCUGGCAUCGAUGAAGAACGCAGCGAAAUGCGAUAAGUAAUGCGAAUUGCAGAAUUCAGUGAGUCAUCGAAUCUUUGAACGCACAUUGCGCCCUGUGGUAUUCCGCAGGGCAUGCCUGUUCGAGCGUCAUUUCAACCCUCAAGCUCUGCUUGGUGUUGGGCCAUGCCCAUUGCGGCCGGCCUCAAAAUCAGUGGCGGCGCCAUCUGGCUCUAAGCGUAGUACAUCUCUCGCUCUAGGGUCCGGUGGUGGCUUGCCAUAACCCCAACUUCUAUGGUUGACCUCGGAUCAGGUAGGGAUACCCGCUGAACUUAAGCAUAUCAAUAAGCG